AUUUCUUUUGUUCUCACCGUAAGAUGCGACGACUUUUGCUCUUCUCUUCUAUUUCAUCACGGUGUGACGACACCGAUCGACUUCCACCGACUGAGAUAUAGAUGCAACGACUUUUGCUCUUCUCUUCCAUCAUGGUGUGACGACACCGAUCGAUUUCCACCGUCUGAGAUGGAGAUGCGACUCUUGCUCCUCUCUACCGUCGGAUUUACUUCCAUAAUCGACGAGAGGCAAUUGCAGUUCCGAAAGGAUAUCGCUGUUCACUUUGUUGUUCAUAUGACUGAAAACAAAAAAUAGGUGUUCUUCCAGAAGAAGAAGAAGAAGUCAAAAAAUGAGAAGUGGUAUUAAUUUUUAGGCUUUGUUACAACAAAAGUGUAACAAAAGGUUUAGGGAAUUGUUCUCUUGUGUUAUUACUCUAUCCCAUAGGAUAUAACAUAUAUAUAAUAAUAAUACAAUUUUAGGGUUU
Camelina sativa (false flax) is the source of this 463-nucleotide long non-coding RNA. RefSeq lists it as uncharacterized. The record is from RefSeq and is a predicted model, not a curated record. Lineage: Eukaryota; Viridiplantae; Streptophyta; Magnoliopsida; Brassicales; Brassicaceae.